This 432-nucleotide ribosomal RNA is filed under the name uncultured bacterium. RNAcentral's name for it is "partial 16S ribosomal RNA". It matches the Rfam family "Bacterial small subunit ribosomal RNA", at positions 28 to 507 of the family's 1533-position model. The record is from RNAcentral.
GAUGAACGCUGGCGGUAUGCUUAACACAUGCAAGUCGAACGGUCACUUCGGUGAUAGUGGCGGACGGGUGAGUAACGCGUGAGAAUCUGUCCUCAGGUCGGGGACAACAGUUAGAAAUGACUGCUAAUACCGGAUGUGCCUUUGGGUGAAAGAUUUAUUGCCUGAAAAAGAGCUCGCGUCAGAUUAGCUAGUAGGUGGUGUAAGAGACUACCUAGGCUCCGAUCUGUAGCUGGUCUGAGGGGACGAUCAGCCACACUGGAACUGAGACACGGUCCAGACUCCUACGGGAAGCAGCAGUGGGGAAUUUUCCGCAAUGGGCGAAAGCCUGACGGAGCAAUACCGCGUGAGGGACGAAGGCUUUUGGGUCGUAAACCUCUUUUCUCAAGGAAGAUGAUGACGGUACUUGAGGAAUAAGCAUCGGCUAACUCUGUG